This is a long non-coding RNA of Fukomys damarensis (Damara mole-rat), 417 nucleotides long. RefSeq lists it as uncharacterized. The record is from RefSeq and is a predicted model, not a curated record. The transcript is spliced from 3 exons. Lineage: Eukaryota; Metazoa; Chordata; Mammalia; Rodentia; Bathyergidae.
CCAGAGCUGAGGAGGGAGGCCCAAUACUCACUUCUCAAGUUUGACCAUGGAGGAGUUAUAGCCCUGAGCAGACUCAUCUUGCCAGAGUACACACAGAGGUGCCUACCUUGGACAGAAGAAAAGCAGGCAGAUGAAUAAAGUGAGGAAAAUGAGCUACAGGCCCGUUAUCUACUGAAAGACAGAGGGUGACCUCGGUGCCUCCUCUCCCCUGUCCCAGCAAGCCAGGAAGUCACCUGGCACACACGGCCCAGCUGCAGCCCCAUGGCCUGAGUCCGUCCUCCCCUGGCUGCCUCUCCAGAGGCCCUGGCCAGGGCAGCCUCUCGCUCACGGGGAGACAGCCUAGCCAGGCCUUGGGCAGCACGCUGGGCUCUGCCUCGAGCUUCCCCUGCCCUCCACCCAACUUCAACUCAUUUUAAU